Molecule: ribosomal RNA, 443 nt
Filed under: uncultured bacterium
Lineage: Bacteria
Description: SSU rRNA
Rfam family: Bacterial small subunit ribosomal RNA
Source: RNAcentral
AGAACGAACGCUGGCGGCAGGCCUAAUACAUGCAAGUCGAGCGCUCCGCAAGGAGAGCGGCGCACGGGAGAGUAACGCGUGGGAACCUACCUUUUGGUUCGGAAUAACACCGGGAAACUGGUGCUAAUACCGGAUAAGCCCUUCGGGGGAAAGAUUUAUUGCCGAAAGAUGGGCCCGCGUUGGAUUAGCUAGUUGGUGAGGUAACGGCCCACCAAGGCUACGAUCCAUAGCUGGUCUGAGAGGAUGAUCAGCCUCACUGGGACUGAGACACGGCCCCAGACUCCUACGGGAGGCAGCAGUAGGGAAUAUUGGACAAUGGGGGCAACCCUGAUCCAGCCAUGCCGCGUGAAUGAUGAAGGCCUUCGGGUUGUAAAGUUCUUUGGUGGGGACGAUGAUGACGGUACCACAGAAUAAGCUCCGGCUAACUUCGUGCCAGCAGCCGC